GACGUAGGUGGCAAGCGUUAUCCGGAAUUAUUGGGCGUAAAGCGCGCGCAGGCGGUUUCUUAAGUCUGAUGUGAAAGCCCACGGCUCAACCGUGGAGGGUCAUUGGAAACUGGGAAACUUGAGUGCAGAAGAGAAGAGUGGAAUUCCACGUGUAGCGGUGAAAUGCGUAGAGAUGUGGAGGAACACCAGUGGCGAAGGCGACUCUUUGGUCUGUAACUGACGCUGAGGCGCGAAAGCGUGGGGAGCAAACAGG
This 253-nucleotide ribosomal RNA is filed under the name uncultured bacterium. RNAcentral describes it as "partial 16S ribosomal RNA". It matches the Rfam family "Bacterial small subunit ribosomal RNA", at positions 524 to 776 of the family's 1533-position model. The record is from RNAcentral.